UACGUAGGGUGCGAGCGUUGUCCGGAAUUAUUGGGCGUAAAGAGCUCGUAGGCGGUGUGUCACGUCGGCCGUGAAAACCUGCAGCUUAACUGUGGGCGUGCGGUCGAUACGGGCAUCACUGGAGUUCGGCAGGGGAGACUGGAAUUCCUGGUGUAGCGGUGAAAUGCGCAGAUAUCAGGAGGAACACCGGUGGCGAAGGCGGGUCUCUGGGCCGAUACUGACGCUGAGGAGCGAAAGCGUGGGGAGCAACAGG
Molecule: ribosomal RNA, 253 nt
Filed under: uncultured bacterium
Lineage: Bacteria
Description: partial 16S ribosomal RNA
Rfam family: Bacterial small subunit ribosomal RNA
Source: RNAcentral